GACGAACGCUGGCGGCGUGCUUAACACAUGCAAGUCGAACGGAAAGGCCCUGCUUUUGUGGGGUGCUCGAGUGGCGAACGGGUGAGUAACACGUGAGUAACCUGCCCUGGACUUUGGGAUAACUUCAGGAAACUGGGGCUAAUACCGGAUAGGAUCUCCUGCUGCAUGGUGGGGGUGGGAAAGUUUCGGCGGUUGGGGAUGGACGCGCGGCUUAUCAGCUUGUUGGUGGGGUAGUGGCGUACCAAGGCUUUGACGGGUAGCCGGCCUGAGAGGGUGACCGGCCACAUUGGGACUGAGCUACGGCCCAGACUCCUACGGGACGGAGCGGUGGGGAAUAUUGCCCAAUGGGCGGAAGCCUGGUCCAGCAACGCCGCGUGCGGGAUGACGGCCUUCGGGUUGUAAUCCGCUUUCGCCUGUGACGAGGAGUGAGUGACGGUAAUGGGUAAAGAAGCACCGGCUAACUACGUG
RNAcentral lists this ribosomal RNA (468 nucleotides) under uncultured bacterium. RNAcentral describes it as "partial 16S ribosomal RNA". It matches the Rfam family "Bacterial small subunit ribosomal RNA", at positions 28 to 507 of the family's 1533-position model. The record is from RNAcentral.